Molecule: ribosomal RNA, 468 nt
Filed under: uncultured bacterium
Lineage: Bacteria
Description: partial 16S ribosomal RNA
Rfam family: Bacterial small subunit ribosomal RNA
Source: RNAcentral
GAUGAACGCUGGCGGCGUGCUUAACACAUGCAAGUCGAACGGAAAGGCCCAAGCUUGCUUGGGUACUCGAGUGGCGAACGGGUGAGUAACACGUGGGUGAUCUGCCCUGCACUUCGGGAUAAGCCUGGGAAACUGGGUCUAAUACCGGAUAGGACGAUGGUUUGGAUGCCAUUGUGGAAAGUUUUUUCGGUGUGGGAUGAGCUCGCGGCCUAUCAGCUUGUUGGUGGGGUAAUGGCCUACCAAGGCGUCGACGGGUAGCCGGCCGGUGAGGGUGUACGGCCACAUUGGGACUGAGAGACGGCCCAGACUCCUACGGGAGGCAGCAGGGGGGAAUAUUGCACAAUGGGCGCAAGCCUGAGGCAGCGACGCCGCGUGGGGGAUGACGGCCUUCGGGUUGUAAACUCCUUUCGCUAGGGACGAAGCGUUUUUGUGACGGUACCUGGAGAAGAAGCACCGGCUAACUACGUG